GACGAACGCUGGCGGCGUGCCUAAUACAUGCAAGUAGAACGCUGAAGGAGGAGCUUACUUCACUGGAUGAGUUGCGAACGGGUGAGUAACGCGUAGGUAACCUGCCUGGUAGCGGGGGAUAACUAUUGGAAACGAUAGCUAAUACCGCAUAAUAUUGACUAUUGCAUGAUAGUCAAUUAAAAGGUGCAAUUGCACCACUACCAGAUGGACCUGCGUUGUAUUAGCUAGUUGGUGAGGUAACGGCUCACCAAGGCGACGAUACAUAGCCGACCUGAGAGGGUGAUCGGCCACACUGGGACUGAGACACGGCCCAGACUCCUACGGGAGGCAGCAGUAGGGAAUCUUCGGCAAUGGACGGAAGUCUGACCGAGCAACGCCGCGUGAGUGAAGAAGGUUUUCGGAUCGUAAAGCUCUGUUGUAAGAGAAGAACGAGUGUGAGAGUGGAAAGUUCACACUGGACG
RNAcentral lists this ribosomal RNA (461 nucleotides) under Streptococcus sp. oral taxon 058. Its description in RNAcentral is "bacterial SSU rRNA". It matches the Rfam family "Bacterial small subunit ribosomal RNA", at positions 28 to 474 of the family's 1533-position model. The record is from RNAcentral. Lineage: Bacteria; Bacillati; Bacillota; Bacilli; Lactobacillales; Streptococcaceae.